This is a long non-coding RNA of Homo sapiens (human), 889 nucleotides long. Lineage: Eukaryota; Metazoa; Chordata; Mammalia; Primates; Hominidae. The record is from Ensembl.
AUAGUUCUAUGGGCUAUACAAGAAGCAUGGCAACAGCAUCUGCCUUUGAGAGGACCUCAGGAAGCUUCCACUCAUGGUAGAAAGUAAAGGGGGUGCAGGUGCUUCACAUGGUGAGAAAGAGAUCAAGAGAGAGAGCCAUGAGAUCAUCAUUGGAUCUUCACUGUGAGAAACCAGUGGUAUUCUUGGAGGAUAUUCACCCUUGGAAUCAAGACACCAUACUGUGAGUAUGCCAAGCAGCCACAUGGAAAGGCCAAUAGAGCUGUUCCAAGCACAGCCUCAGCUAGGUCCCAGGAGAUGACCAGCAUCAAGCACCAGACAAAGUACUUCAAUGACUGUCAUCUUGUCCACAUCCCCAGCUUUCACAAGACAGGUCUGCUGUGAUUUCAGCUUCUUCUAGUUGACUCUAUGAUGCUUGGCUUCUAGCAAAUCUGCUUCCUUCCUUUGUCCAUCCAUGCUGAUGGAUGGUAACAGCAAUAGCAAGAAGCUGGAUUUUUCUCAUCAUUCGUUACAGUAUGUGGAUUCUCAGAUAUUCCACCACCUAUUUAACAAAUUCCAUGUAUUACAUUAUUUAUGUUUUAAAUACUGUAAUAAGCCUAUCUUUUGUUUCCUUGGUUGGACCCUACCUGAGUACAAAUUUAGCUAAAGGAACCCAGAUACAUAGAGGACAAGGACAUUUGGAGUUCAUCCAUCAUGUGUGAACUUCUUAUCCAUCUCCUAACCAAGGUGGGAGGGAGCAUCAUUGAUCAACUGAAUUUUGGCUAGAUUGCUGCUCAUACAUGACUCAGCUGGCCCUUAGUAUUUUGAUUAUUUCUCCAAUUCUUUAGUGUGUAUUUGGAAUAAAUUCAUUCAACAUCUCUGAAUAUCUGGAGCUAGGUUUGUAUGAGAAGGC